Callithrix jacchus (white-tufted-ear marmoset) is the source of this 46-nucleotide non-coding RNA. The record is from Rfam. NCBI's taxonomy places the organism in Eukaryota, Metazoa, Chordata, Mammalia, Primates, Cebidae.
CCAAAGGCUCUUUUUAGAGCCAUUAUCUUCCUAACAUGCAGUGAUG